Small nucleolar RNA from Cololabis saira (Pacific saury), 82 nucleotides. RefSeq annotates it as small nucleolar RNA SNORD60. The record is from RefSeq and is a predicted model, not a curated record. The transcript has a single exon. Lineage: Eukaryota; Metazoa; Chordata; Actinopteri; Beloniformes; Belonidae.
AGCCACUGACGAUAUCCUCAACAAUUUUUCUGACACCUCAUAUGAGAGCUACGCUCCUGAUUCUAAUGCUGUUCUGAGGCUC